This 484-nucleotide ribosomal RNA is filed under the name uncultured bacterium. Its description in RNAcentral is "partial 16S ribosomal RNA". It matches the Rfam family "Bacterial small subunit ribosomal RNA", at positions 30 to 507 of the family's 1533-position model. The record is from RNAcentral.
AUUGAACGCUGGCGGCAGGCCUAACACAUGCAAGUCGAGCGGAUGAAGGGAGCUUGCUCCUGGAUUCAGCGGCGGACGGGUGAGUAAUGCCUAGGAAUCUGCCUGGUAGUGGGGGAUAACGUCCGGAAACGGGCGCUAAUACCGCAUACGUCCUGAGGGAGAAAGUGGGGGAUCUUCGGACCUCACGCUAUCAGAUGAGCCUAGGUCGGAUUAGCUAGUUGGUGAGGUAAAGGCCUACCAAGGCGACGAUCCGUAACUGGUCUGAGAGGAUGAUCAGUCACACUGGAACUGAGACACGGUCCAGACUCCUACGGGAGGCAGCAGUGGGGAAUAUUGGACAAUGGGCGAAAGCCUGAUCCAGCAAUGCCGCGUGUGUGAUGAAGGUCUUCGGAUUGUAAAGCACUUUAAGUUGGGAGGAAGGGAAGUAAGUUAAUACCUGGCUGUUUUGACGUUACCAACAGAAUAAGCCCCGGCUAACUACGUG